This 203-nucleotide long non-coding RNA is filed under the name Mytilus galloprovincialis (Mediterranean mussel). The record is from RNAcentral. Lineage: Eukaryota; Metazoa; Mollusca; Bivalvia; Mytilida; Mytilidae.
GUACUUAGGUGAGGUUAGGUAAAAAUAAAUAAAUUAAGAAAUUAAAAUUGAUACUAUAAGCUGGUAAAGCAUCAAUUAAGGAUAAAAAUAAGCUAAAAAUAUUGAUAGGUCAUGUACCUAUUUUUCGAGAAAUUUGAGAUUUACAAUAUGGCGGGAAAAGGCUGACACGGACUUUUACCUUAUAUUUGCAUUGGUAUUAUUUG